Molecule: ribosomal RNA, 492 nt
Filed under: uncultured bacterium
Lineage: Bacteria
Description: partial 16S ribosomal RNA
Rfam family: Bacterial small subunit ribosomal RNA
Source: RNAcentral
AGUGAACGCUGGCGGUAGGCCUAACACAUGCAAGUCGAACGGCAGCACAGUAAGAGCUUGCUCUUACGGGUGGCGAGUGGCGGACGGGUGAGGAAUACAUCGGAAUCUACUUUUUCGUGGGGGAUGACGUAGGGAAACUUACGCUAAUACCGCAUACGACCUACGGGUGAAAGCAGGGGAUCUUCGGACCUUGCGCGAUUGAAUGAGCCGAUGUCGGAUUAGCUAGUUGGCGGGGUAAAGGCCCACCAAGGCGACGAUCCGUAGCUGGUCUGAGAGGAUGAUCAGCCACACUGGAACUGAGACACGGUCCAGACUCCUACGGGAGGCAGCAGUGGGGAAUAUUGGACAAUGGGCGCAAGUCUGAUCCAGCCAUACCGCGUGGGUGAAGAAGGCCUUCGGGUUGUAAAGCCCUUUUGUUGGGAAAGAAAAGCAGCAGGUUAAUACCCCGCUGUUCUGACGGUACCCAAAGAAUAAGCACCGGCUAACUUCGUG